Molecule: ribosomal RNA, 646 nt
Filed under: Mrakia sp. TP-Snow-Y56
Lineage: Eukaryota; Fungi; Basidiomycota; Tremellomycetes; Cystofilobasidiales; Mrakiaceae
Description: eukaryotic LSU rRNA
Rfam family: Eukaryotic large subunit ribosomal RNA
Source: RNAcentral
GCAUAUCAAUAAGCGGAGGAAAAGAAACUAACAAGGAUUCCCCUAGUAACGGCGAGUGAAGCGGGAUGAGCUCAAAUUUAAAAUCUUGCAGCCUCAGGUUGUACGAGUUGUAGUCUAGAGAAUCGUUUUCCGCGUUGGCCUGUGUACAAGUCCCUUGGAACAGGGCGUCAUAGAGGGUGAGAAUCCCGUCCUUGACACAGAUUACCAAUGCUUUGUGAUGCGAUCUCGAAGAGUCGAGUUGUUUGGGAAUGCAGCUCAAAAUGGGUGGUAAAUUCCAUCUAAAGCUAAAUAUUGGCGAGAGACCGAUAGCGAACAAGUACCGUGAGGGAAAGAUGAAAAGCACUUUGGAAAGAGAGUUAAACAGUACGUGAAAUUGUUAAAAGGGAAACGAUUGAAGUCAGUCAUGCUCUCCGAGACUCAGCCGAUUCUGUCGGUGUACUUCUCGGUUGGCAGGCCAGCAUCAGUUUCGAUCUGUGGAAAAGGUUGGAGGGAAUGUGGCAUCCUCGGAUGUGUUAUAGCCCUUCUUCGAAUACAUAGAGCGGGACUGAGGAACGCAGCGUGCCUUUUAUUAGGUUGACCUUCGGGUACAAACACGCUUAGGAUGCUGGCAUAAUGGCUUUAAACGACCCGUCUUGAAACACGGACC